GACGAACGCUGGCGGCGUGCUUAACACAUGCAAGUCGAACGGAAAGGCCUGCUUUCCCUUGUGGAUUGCGGGUACUCGCGUGGCGAACGGGUGAGUAACACGUGAGUGAUCUGCCCCCAACUUGGGUAUAAGCCUGGGAAACUGGGUCUAAUUCCCGAUAGGACUGCAGGGUGGUGCCUGUGGUGGAAAACGAUUUUCUAGUGGUUGGGGAUGAGCUCGCGGCCUAUCAGCUUGUUGGUGGGGUAAUGGCCUACCAAGGCGGCGACGGGAAGCCGGCCUGAGAGGGGGGAGGGCAAAAGUGGGACAGAGAAACGGCCCAGACUCGUACGGGAGGCAGCAGUGGGGAAGAUUGAACAAUGGGCGGAAGCGUGAUGAAGCGACGCCGCGUGGGGGAUGACGGCCUUCGGGUUGUAAACUCCUUUCGACCGCGAGGAAGCCACCUGGUUGGAAGGGUGGUGACGGUAGUGGUAGAAGAAGCACCGGCUAACUACGUG
This 494-nucleotide ribosomal RNA is filed under the name uncultured bacterium. RNAcentral describes it as "partial 16S ribosomal RNA". It matches the Rfam family "Bacterial small subunit ribosomal RNA", at positions 28 to 507 of the family's 1533-position model. The record is from RNAcentral.